RNAcentral lists this ribosomal RNA (306 nucleotides) under uncultured bacterium. RNAcentral's name for it is "partial 16S ribosomal RNA". It matches the Rfam family "Bacterial small subunit ribosomal RNA", at positions 507 to 807 of the family's 1533-position model. The record is from RNAcentral.
GACAGCAGUCGCCACGGUAAUACGAAGGGUGCAAGCGUUAAUCGGAAUUACUGGGCGUAAAGCGUGCGCAGGCGGUUUGUUAAGACAGGUGUGAAAUCCCCGGGCUCAACCUGGGAACUGCAUUUGUGACUGGCAAGCUAGAGUGUGGCAGAGGGGGGUGGAAUUCCGCAUGUAGCAGUGAAAUGCGUAGAUAUGCGGAGGAACACCGAUGGCGAAGGCAGCCCCCUGGGCCAACACUGACACUCAUGCACGAAAGCGUGGGGAGCAAACAGGAUUAGAUACCCCAGUAGUCCCUGUCUCUUAUAC